UACGUAGGGGGCAAGCGCUGUCCGGAUUUAUUGGGCGUAAAGAGCUCGUAGGUGGUUCGGUAAGUCGGAUGUGAAAUCUCCAGGCUCAACCUGGAGGGGUCAUUCGAUACUGCCGUGACUAGAGUUCGGUAGGGGAGUGUGGAAUUCCUGGUGGAGCGGUGAAAUGCGCAGAUAUCAGGAGGAACACCCGUAGCGAAGGCGGCACUCUGGGCCGAUACUGACACUGAGGAGCGAAAGCGUGGGGAGCGAACAGG
This 254-nucleotide ribosomal RNA is filed under the name uncultured bacterium. RNAcentral's name for it is "partial 16S ribosomal RNA". It matches the Rfam family "Bacterial small subunit ribosomal RNA", at positions 524 to 776 of the family's 1533-position model. The record is from RNAcentral.